Molecule: long non-coding RNA, 704 nt
Organism: Sorghum bicolor (sorghum)
Lineage: Eukaryota; Viridiplantae; Streptophyta; Magnoliopsida; Poales; Poaceae
Exons: 2
Source: RefSeq, a predicted model, not a curated record
AUAUGGGCCGAAUUGCCACACCCGCUUUGGCCCGAGUUGCCGCUAGGCCUUCUGUAGCCACGGACCAUCGUCUCCAACGGCAACGAGGUCUUGAAAUUAGUCAUCAGUUCUUGAAAUUCUAGUUCUAGAAGAUUCCCCAACGGAACCCGGGCGUGCGCGCGCGCUUGCUCCCCCGCAUCCCCAUUCACGAUUCACCUUCACCCGCGUGCUCGGUGCUCUCUAUCUCUCUCUGCGACGACUGGGUGUGGGCUACCGCCGCCGCCGUGCCGAGGCCUUCGUCGGUCUCCUCUCCGGCGACGAGCACCCAUCAGGAUGCAGGAGCUCUCGGGGCUCCGAUCCCUCGCUGGAUCCACCUCGACGGCCAUGGAGGCCGCAAACCCCAGGCCCUCCCCGGAUACUGAGGGUUAUUUAGUUUUUGCCUGAUUUCCUCCACCUUGGUUUGACAAGCUAUAUUAAUCUGUGUCAUCACUGAUUUCUCUUGGAAUUUUAUUUGGUUGCAGAGAAACCAGUCCAGGAGCAGGCUUCGGUGGAGAGUGAUCUAGAAAUGGCGGUAUGAUUAUAUAUAUAUUGUGUGUUGAGUAAUUUAACCUUUGGUAUGUUGGAAUUGAAUGUUGUACCUUUUUAGUAUUGCCGAAGUCACUCUCAUAUUUGUAAAAAAAAGAAAAAUCACUCUAAUUAUUUUCUGGAUGCAUGUACUCCUUGAA